AGAGGCAGGCAGAUCUCUAUGAGUUCGAGGCCAGCCUGGUCUACAGAAUGAGUUCCAAGACAGCCAGGACUACACGGAGAAACUCUGCCUCAAAAA
RNAcentral lists this microRNA precursor (96 nucleotides) under Microtus ochrogaster (prairie vole). RNAcentral's name for it is "miRNA (ENSMOCG00000005999.1)". Lineage: Eukaryota; Metazoa; Chordata; Mammalia; Rodentia; Cricetidae. The record is from RNAcentral.